Colossoma macropomum (tambaqui) is the source of this 2648-nucleotide long non-coding RNA. RefSeq lists it as uncharacterized. Lineage: Eukaryota; Metazoa; Chordata; Actinopteri; Characiformes; Serrasalmidae. The transcript has 3 exons. The record is from RefSeq and is a predicted model, not a curated record.
AUUUCCGUGUGGGCAAAGAUUAUCUUUUGGUUCCUGAGGUUAAGGAGCCAAAUUACAGAAACAGGAGCAAAUGGCUUGAGUCUCGCUCUGAUUUCAAACAGGACUCAGCCGUGUCUGGGAGAAGUACAUGAUCGAGAUGAAGAGGAGAUCUCAUUCAGAAUGGACAGAAAUAGGCCCAUUCAAGGUACAGCACAAUGGGAACGGAGUCUCCUUUACCUUCACCAGCGUCAUCUAUCACCUACAAAGACUCAGCUCUCUCACACGCACAUGUAACCUGAUCAGUAAAUUAGCUUUAUUCUGUAAUGAGAGGGGCAAUCGUCUCCCCGACCCCCAUCCCCCACUGCUUAUAUGUGCUAUAGGCCUACCAUAAAUGGGAUCACCGUGGGGGGAAGGAGGUGGACCAAAGCACAAAGAUAAUAGUAGAGGGGUGGGCUUCAAGGCCUGUGGGAGGACCAAGACACUAUGGAAGUUUACCAGAUGGGUUUUUUUAAACAAAAAUGUUUGCUGAAUACAAUUAAAUGGCUUAAAUCUACUUCUCAGACGAAGGUUUUACAUAUUUCAUCUAUUUUGUUGUAUAUACUCCACAUUUAGUUUAUAUACUCAUGUGCAAAAGUUUGGGUACCGAUGGUCUAAUGACAUAUUUUGUUAAUUUAAUUAAAGUAAAAAUAAGUUCUACACCUCCUCUACAGACAACUGCACAUUUUAAUGUACAAUUACUGUUUAUUUGCUUAAUUUGGCACUUUAAAGCAAAAGCGCAGCCUGUGUGAAACUUAUGGCACGGUUUGUAUUUUGUGUUUUAUAUUUUUCCCAACAAGUUACCGUAGAAAAUGAAAAAGAACAUAGUUUUACUGGGGCUGUUUCAAUUUUUGCAUAUGACUGUGGUGGAUGUAUAUAGUUAUACAUCAUACAUCAUCAUACAUGACGUGUUUAGUUAUAUAUUACAUGUUUUCUUUUUGUAGUUUGUACAUUUGGCCAUUUAUGUAUGCACCAAGACCAAUUCUUAGCAAUUGUUUGGCCAGUAAAAGUAAAAUUCUAUGGGUAGUAGUAAAAAAAAGUCUUAUUUCUCAUUGAAAAAGUCAAUAAGCUCAAUCCCAGAUCCCAAGUGUCUGCAAAGUACCACCAUUUCUAUCAAGAACAUGUCAAAUAACUGAUAAUAACUGAUAUUGUUUGGAACUGGCUUGAAAAAGCACUGAAUUCACUUGAAUUCUUUGAAAAAGUAAAAAUAUAUUCAACACAGCUUUCAGUUUACUCACUUUUUUAACUGUAUUGACAUACUUAAUACUUAGUUCAUGUAUUCGUGUGAAAAUGCACACGUUUAAAUCAAUCCAGUCCAAUGCAUUACUUUUUUCUCUGUGUAGAAAAAGGGAGGGAAAAGGCCUUGCUAGCUUUGACCUGCCCAAAAACAGCCCUCCCCCCCUCACAAUGGUAACUCAAUGCCCCUGGGAGAGCGCAGCCCGAGAGUAGGAGGGCCCUGCUGAUCCGCUCAUUAAAUAUGCAUCAUAAUUAAGGGGCAGAGAGACGACGUAGAGGCUUCGGAGUUCAUUACCACAGCGUGAUUAAAAUAAUGGCAUUGUGUAGAGGCUGAUAUGGGUGUCUUGCUUAUGUUUACGACCCAUAACGAUAAUUAUUAAAGUUUGUGAUUAAACAGAGCCAAUGAUUAAGAGUGCUUAUCCUCCAACGUGAACAUUAACGCAAAGGAAACAGAGCUGUUUAUUAGGCUCAAGGGUCGGUUCAGGCCGCAUUAUGGAAAUUAGCAUAUCUGCAGAUGAAUUUAAUACAGUGGGUGUGUGGUGCUGAGUCAAACGUCCACGGAUACACAAUGAAGAGUUCAGUGAGAAACAAGUCACCGUGAGGAAACUCCUCCGUUGCGGCUCCGGGGAAGAACCCAGAGAGGGAUCGGCUAAUCAGGCCUGAAUGUGUCAGGGGCCUGGAGACCAUCUGUGCCAGACACAGAGUCAUUAGUGGGAGUAAACCUGAUCAACACUCAGAAGACCAUGAGACGCAAAACAGAGAGAGAUAAUAUGGCAAAGACUUCUUCAAACAGAGCCAGUGACACAGUAAUAAUGCUCUUUAUUCUCAAUGUGAGAUAUAAAACGUGAGGAUUUACAACAGCAGGCUAUAUUAAUAAUCAAAGUUAUUUUUCUUUGUACUUGCACAAAGACAAACAGCACUGCACGUGUAAAAGUUUGAACACACCUGGUCAAAUGACAUGUUUUGUUGUCUUUCUAAGCGAAAAUAAGUUCACACAUCCUUACUUAACAUGGCAUUUUCUUUUGCACAGGCCACAUUUUAAUUUUUUGUGCUUCACAAGAUGUUAAAUUCAUCACUUAAACAGUAAUUGUGCAUUAAAACGUGCAGAAGUGUGUUCUCUGUACUACAGGGGUGUCAAAGUCAACCACUAAAAGGGCCAUAUAAAAAAAUCUCAAUAAAUCUGUGGGCCAGCUGUGUUUUUACUUUAUUUUUACUUAACAUUUUGACCCCAACUGGCUACUGUUUAUUUAAAAUAUGCUAAACCUACACUAAAAUAUACACUAAAAUCUUAAACGAUUAAAAAAUAAUUUAAAAUAAAAACAAACUGUUUUAUAUAACAGUAGACUAUGUUAGCUGCAGAUUUAACUGUUAAACCUCUUUAAAUGUCCCUAAUGUAC